RNAcentral lists this ribosomal RNA (253 nucleotides) under uncultured bacterium. Its description in RNAcentral is "partial 16S ribosomal RNA". It matches the Rfam family "Bacterial small subunit ribosomal RNA", at positions 524 to 776 of the family's 1533-position model. The record is from RNAcentral.
UACGUAGGGUGCAAGCGUUAAUCGGAAUUACUGGGCGUAAAGCGUGCGCAGGCGGUUAUGCAAGACAGAGGUGAAAUCCCCGGGCUCAACCUGGGAACUGCCUUUGUGACUGCAUGACUAGAGUACGGUAGAGGGGGAUGGAAUUCCGCGUGUAGCAGUGAAAUGCGUAGAUAUGCGGAGGAACACCGAUGGCGAAGGCAAUCCCCUGGACCUGUACUGACGCUCAUGCACGAAAGCGUGGGGAGCAAACAGG